AGCGAACGCUGGCGGCAGGCUUAACACAUGCAAGUCGAACGCCCCGCAAGGGGAGUGGCAGACGGGUGAGUAACACGUGGGAACGUACCCUUUGGUUCGGAAUAACUUGGGGAAACUCAAGCUAAUACCGGAUAAGCCCUUAUGGGGAAAGGUUUACUGCCGAAGGAUCGGCCCGCGUCUGAUUAGCUAGUUGGUGAGGUCAUGGCUCACCAAGGCGACGAUCAGUAGCUGGUCUGAGAGGAUGAUCAGCCACACUGGGCCUGAGACACGGCCCAGACUCCUACGGGAGGCAGCAGUGGGGAAUAUUGGACAAUGGGGGCAACCCUGAUCAAGCCAUGCCGCGUGAGUGAUGAAGGCCUUAGGGUUGUAAAGCUCUUUUACCCGGGACGAUAAUGACUGUACCGGGAGAAUAAGCCCCGGCUAACUUCGUGCCAGCCGCCGCCGUAA
RNAcentral lists this ribosomal RNA (447 nucleotides) under uncultured bacterium. Its description in RNAcentral is "partial 16S ribosomal RNA". It matches the Rfam family "Bacterial small subunit ribosomal RNA", at positions 29 to 523 of the family's 1533-position model. The record is from RNAcentral.